AAAGGUUGACCUCGGAUCAGGUAGGGAUACCCGCUGAACUCCCCCCAUAUCA
This 52-nucleotide ribosomal RNA is filed under the name Pseudocercospora musae. RNAcentral's name for it is "partial 28S ribosomal RNA". Lineage: Eukaryota; Fungi; Ascomycota; Dothideomycetes; Mycosphaerellales; Mycosphaerellaceae. The record is from RNAcentral.